This 115-nucleotide ribosomal RNA is filed under the name Citrobacter sp. RHBSTW-01065. Lineage: Bacteria; Pseudomonadati; Pseudomonadota; Gammaproteobacteria; Enterobacterales; Enterobacteriaceae. The record is from RNAcentral.
CCUGGCGGCUGUAGCAAGCAGUGGUCCCACCUGACUUACGCCGAACUCAGAAGUGAAACGCCGUAGCGCCGAUGGUAGUGGGGCCUCCCCAUGCGAGAGUAGGGAACUGCCAGCA